Small nucleolar RNA from Orussus abietinus, 214 nucleotides. RefSeq annotates it as small nucleolar RNA U3. The transcript has a single exon. The record is from RefSeq and is a predicted model, not a curated record. NCBI's taxonomy places the organism in Eukaryota, Metazoa, Arthropoda, Insecta, Hymenoptera, Orussidae.
AAGAUCAUACUUCACAGGAUCAUUUCUGUAGUAUAUCUUCACAUUCUCUCUACCCAAUAGUAGAGCGAACGCAACCACGAUGAAGAGGUAUAGCCUUUCUUCCUGAGCGUGAGGGCGACUGCAGAGCUUGACUUUGUCAGGCUCUCGGUCAUCGAUGAUCGUUCACUCCUUGUACAAAGUGCGAGGAGCAGGGAAGAAAGGCAUUCUGAGUGGU